AUAGUACUCCCUCUGUCUGAAAUUAUUUGUCACAGGAAUUGAUAAAAGUGGAUGUAUCUAGAACUAAAAUACGUCUAGAUACAUCCAUUUCUUUGACAAGUAUUUUCGGAUGGAGGGAGUAUAUG
This is a non-coding RNA of Triticum aestivum (bread wheat), 125 nucleotides long. The record is from Rfam. NCBI's taxonomy places the organism in Eukaryota, Viridiplantae, Streptophyta, Magnoliopsida, Poales, Poaceae.